RNAcentral lists this ribosomal RNA (424 nucleotides) under uncultured bacterium. RNAcentral describes it as "partial 16S ribosomal RNA". It matches the Rfam family "Bacterial small subunit ribosomal RNA", at positions 360 to 776 of the family's 1533-position model. The record is from RNAcentral.
AAUAUUGGACAAUGGGCGAAAGCCUGAUCCAGCCAUGCCGCGUGUGUGAAGAAGGUCUUCGGAUUGUAAAGAACGUUAAGUUGGGAGGAAGGGCAGUAAGUUAAUACCUUGCUGUUUUGAAGUUACCGAUAGAAUAAGCACCGGCUAACGUAGUGCCAGCAGCCGCGGUAAUACGAAGGGUGCAAGCGUUUAUCGGAAUUAAUGGGCGUAAAGACGGCGUAGGUGGUUUGUUAAGUUGGAAGUUAAAGCCCCGGGCUUAACCUGGGAAUUGCUUUCAAAACUGACGAGCUAGAGUACGGUAGAGGGUAGUGGAAUUUCCUGUGUAGCGGUGAAAUGCGUAGAUAUAGGAAGGAACAUCAGUGGCGAAGGCGACUACCUGGACUGAUACUGACACUGAGGUGCGAAAGCGUGGGGAGCAAACAGG